Molecule: microRNA precursor, 139 nt
Filed under: Podarcis lilfordi (Lilford's wall lizard)
Lineage: Eukaryota; Metazoa; Chordata; Lepidosauria; Squamata; Lacertidae
Source: RNAcentral
AGGAGAGAGAGACAGAGAGCCUGCUUGCUUUAAAGGAGCAAAGUGGGAGAGGAGAGGAGAGGAGCCGCUUACAUGAGUGUAAGCGGCUCCUGUCCAGUUGGCUCAUUUAAAGCAAGCAGGCUCUCUGUCCCUCUCUCCU